UUAAUAUUUAUGCAAAUUUUUAAAUAUAAAACCCAUAAAUAAAAUAAAAGUAAACAGAGGUGGGAGUUUUCGGAUGUAUCAUUGAUUGAUUUUGAUGUUUUUGGAUGGAUUUAAAUAUAAAUAUAGUUGUUAAAAUUUAAAAAAUAGUGAAUUAUACUUGAAUAGGGUGAAGCCAAAAAAAAUUCUGGUGGAGGCUUACAGCAAUUUUAAUAUAUAAAUUGAUUAUUAAAUUUGAAUAUAAGGGUAAAAGAUUAAUUGAAUUAUUUAAUAAUUAA
RNAcentral lists this non-coding RNA (275 nucleotides) under Orbilia oligospora ATCC 24927. Its description in RNAcentral is "Arthrobotrys oligospora ATCC 24927 Eukaryotic large subunit ribosomal RNA". It matches the Rfam family "Eukaryotic large subunit ribosomal RNA", at positions 675 to 954 of the family's 3401-position model. Lineage: Eukaryota; Fungi; Ascomycota; Orbiliomycetes; Orbiliales; Orbiliaceae. The record is from Rfam by way of RNAcentral.